RNAcentral lists this long non-coding RNA (591 nucleotides) under Homo sapiens (human). Its description in RNAcentral is "HSALNT0373461". The record is from RNAcentral. Lineage: Eukaryota; Metazoa; Chordata; Mammalia; Primates; Hominidae.
CCACACUCAGCUCAGCUCUCUGAAGAUUUGAUCAUAGAAAUUUUCCAGUAAACUUGAAAAAAUAAAAGAAAAAAACUAAACUUCCUAUAACAAACACUGUACAAGGAGAGGUAAAGUAUUAAAGACACUUUGUUGUGUUGAAGAAGAAGCAUGAUAAGUAGAAUUUUGAAAUAAGAGAAAAAGGUGGAAUGGCCAAGAGGAAGAGGUCUUCUGAUUUUAAAGACUAAAGAAAAUCUUGCUGAAAUUAGAUAGCCUAAUGAAAAGGAGAACCCUCCUAGUUUGAGGUAUUGCAUCCCUGAACUCAGAUUUCUAUUUUAAUUAGAUGCUGUGUUUCUGCAGGGAUGAAGGCCCCAUGGAAGAAUUCUCACAGGGAGGCAGAUGCUGUUGGAAGGAGAGAGCCUGGAAUGUCCGUAGUGGUCAAGAGAAAUGUAAUCCAAGAACACUCGAGAGUAACAACUGCACAGUUUCCUGGGGAAAUUUAAGACAUGUCAGCACAAAUCUAGACUGAGACUGACUCAUUCGGCAGGAAGAAUAUGUCUACAUGCCAGAGUACCCACCUGAUCUCAGCUCACUGCAACCUCUGCCUCCCGG